CCUACGGGUGGCAGCAGUGGGGAAUAUUGCGCAAUGGGCGAAAGCCUGACGCAGCGACGCCGCGUGAGGGAUGAAGGUCUUCGGAUCGUAAACCUCUGUCAGCAGGGAAGUACGGUCACUGUGCUAAUCAGCAGUGAAUUGACGGUACCUGCAAAGGAAGCACCGGCUAACUCCGUGCCAGCAGCCGCGGUAAUACGGAGGGUGCGAGAGUUAAUCGGAAUUACUGGGCGUAAAGCGCUCGUAGGAGGUAUGGCAAGUCAAGGGUGAAAUCCCCGCGCUCAACGUGGGAACUGCCUUUGAAACUGACAAACUGGAGUGUGUUAUAGGAUAGUGCCAUUCCAAGUGUCGUAGU
This 352-nucleotide ribosomal RNA is filed under the name uncultured bacterium. RNAcentral's name for it is "partial 16S ribosomal RNA". It matches the Rfam family "Bacterial small subunit ribosomal RNA", at positions 338 to 682 of the family's 1533-position model. The record is from RNAcentral.